Molecule: long non-coding RNA, 421 nt
Filed under: Homo sapiens (human)
Lineage: Eukaryota; Metazoa; Chordata; Mammalia; Primates; Hominidae
Description: LHRI_LNC915.1
Source: RNAcentral
CCUCCCUGCUGAUGAACGCCCACUCUGCUCCCAGAUGCACACCUGUCCUGAAGACACCCGGUUCUCAUGCUCUUCUCUGCAGCACCUGAAUUGGGCAUUCCUGGGUAAAGCUGUUUAAGUUACUUUCACUUUUAUCCACUUGUUUCCGUUAUUUCAACCAUGCAUGUCCCUUGUGUAUGUAGGAUAAAGGUGUCUAAGAAUAAAGGUCCAUGAUUUAAAGUUUUUUCCUCUUCUUUCCCUGUCCUGACCACCUGAUCAUAAACUUGUAGAAAUAAAGUGGAUCUCAUGUUGUGUAUCUUUCGAUGCAUCUAGAGAGAUGGUUAUAUUCAUAUAAAUAAACGGGCACAUCCAGCACACUAUUUCUAGUUGUCGUCUGCUAAUAAGUUUACAUCUGGUAAAUGCCAGUGUUUCAUCAAAUGGC